GCGGACGUAGCUCAGUCGGUAGAGCCCCGGAUUGUGGAUCCGGUUGUCGGGGGUUCGAGUCCCCUCGUUCGCCCCA
RNAcentral lists this transfer RNA (76 nucleotides) under Magnetococcales bacterium. RNAcentral's name for it is "tRNA-His". It matches the Rfam family "tRNA". Rfam says of the family: Transfer RNA (tRNA) molecules are approximately 80 nucleotides in length. Their secondary structure includes four short double-helical elements and three loops (D, anti-codon, and T loops). The record is from RNAcentral. Lineage: Bacteria; Pseudomonadati; Pseudomonadota; Magnetococcia; Magnetococcales.